Pipistrellus kuhlii (Kuhl's pipistrelle) is the source of this 336-nucleotide long non-coding RNA. RefSeq lists it as uncharacterized. The transcript is spliced from 2 exons. The record is from RefSeq and is a predicted model, not a curated record. Lineage: Eukaryota; Metazoa; Chordata; Mammalia; Chiroptera; Vespertilionidae.
GAGAUUAUGCUUAAUUUCUGUUACACUUGCUCUGAUUAGUUCCAUAGGAGAGAAAGAGGAGGAGAGCAGAUAGACUUGGGCUCCUUUCUAAGCUAAAUAAACAAUUUUUUUAAAGAACAAGAAACAUUAAUUAUCUGGGAAUUCUUUUGCUUUCCCAUUUCUUUAGAUGUAGUAUAUAGUAUAUUGAUUGUUUGAAUAAUCUUUCACCUUUAAAAAUAGGUAGUGUUUUUAGUAAUAUCUGCCACAUAGUAAAAAUUGUUUUAAAUGUCAUAUAAAAUAAACACAUGAUACUUGCAAAUCAAUAGUGCUGUUUUGUUAUAAAUUUAUCCUCAAGAA